CCUACGGGAGGCAGCAGUAGGGAAUAUUGCUCAAUGGGGGAAACCCUGACGCAGCAACGCCGCGUGGAGGAUGAAGGUUUUCGGAUUGUAAACUUCUUUUGUUAGAUAAGAUAAUGACGGUAUCUAACGAAUAAGCACCGGCUAACUCCGUGUCAGUAGCCGCGGUAAUACGGAGGGUGCAAGCGGUACUCGGAAUCACUGGGCGUAAAGAGCGCGUAGGCUGGAUAGCAAGUCAGAUGUGAAAUCCUAUGGAUUAACCGUAGAACUGCAUUUGAAACUGUUAUUCUAGAGGAUGGGAGAGGUAGGUGGAAUUCUUGGUGUAGGGGUAAAAUCCGUAGAGAUCAAGAGGAAUACUCAUUGCGAAGGCGACCUGCUAGAACGUAACUGACGCUGAUGCGCGAAAGCGUGGGGAGCAAACAGGAUUAGAUACCCCAGUAGUC
RNAcentral lists this ribosomal RNA (440 nucleotides) under uncultured bacterium. RNAcentral describes it as "partial 16S ribosomal RNA". It matches the Rfam family "Bacterial small subunit ribosomal RNA", at positions 338 to 795 of the family's 1533-position model. The record is from RNAcentral.